Molecule: small RNA, 102 nt
Filed under: Cloacibacterium normanense
Lineage: Bacteria; Pseudomonadati; Bacteroidota; Flavobacteriia; Flavobacteriales; Weeksellaceae
Description: Flavo-1 RNA
Rfam family: Flavo-1 RNA
Source: Rfam by way of RNAcentral
UUUUCGCGUGAGCGAUUGCAGUGCAAAUCCUUUUAUUUUGUCAGUCUGAGCGGAGUCGAAGACUGGAAAAAUAAAAGAUUGCAACGGAAAGCGCGACUUUUU